Molecule: ribosomal RNA, 497 nt
Filed under: uncultured bacterium
Lineage: Bacteria
Description: partial 16S ribosomal RNA
Rfam family: Bacterial small subunit ribosomal RNA
Source: RNAcentral
GAUGAACGCUGGCGGCGUGCCUAAUACAUGCAAGUCGAGCGAACAGACGAGGAGCUUGCUCCUCUGACGUUAGCGGCGGACGGGUGAGUAACACGUGGAUAACCUACCUAUAAGACUGGGAUAACUUCGGGAAACCGGAGCUAAUACCGGAUAAUAUAUUGAACCGCAUUGUUCAAUAGUGAAAGACGGUUUUGCUGUCACUUAUAGAUGGAUCCGCGCCGCAUUAGCUAGUUGGUAAGGUAACGGCUUACCAAGGCGACGAUGCGUAGCCGACCUGAGAGGGUGAUCGGCCACACUGGAACUGAGACACGGUCCAGACUCCUACGGGAGGCAGCAGUAGGGAAUCUUCCGCAAUGGGCGAAAGCCUGACGGAGCAACGCCGCGUGAGUGAUGAAGGUCUUCGGAUCGUAAAACUCUGUUAUUAGGGAGGAACAAAUGUGUAAGUAACUAUGCACGUCUUGACGGUACCUAAUCAGAAAGCCACGGCUAACUACGUG